AAGCAGCAGAAACAUCCUUAACUGAGCUCCUCACUCACUCACUGCAGCUAGCCUCUUCUUCCUCAGUCGUCAGAAAGAAUGUCUUGCUGCGGCGGCAACUGCGGGUGCGGCGCCGGCUGCAAGUGCGGCAACGGCUGCGGCGGGUACUCAUCUCUCUGCUCUUGCGUGUAUCAUUUUGUUCCACAGUUCUUCUGUUAUGAGACGGCAGAGUAAUCUGAUUAACCAUGUGCAUAUGUAUGUAGGUGCAAGAUGUUCCCUGACGUUGAGGCCAGCGCCGGCGCCACGAUGACCACCGUGGUCAUGGCCACCGCCACCCACAAGGGGUAUGCAUAAUCGAUCGAUAUGAACUCACGCUUAAUCAUAUUUCACUGAAAUUAAGCAACAAGCUAGCCAAAUAGCAGAGGGAAUUAACUGACUGUUGCGUUUAAUUUGUGCAUAUGCAGGAGCUCUGGUGGGCUGGAGAUGGCCGGCGGGGAGGAGAGCGGCGGCUGCGACUGCACCACCUGCAAGUGCGGCACCGCCUGCGGCUGCUCCUGCUGCACCUGCAACUAGAGCCACACACCAGCGACCAUGAGGAAUGAGGAUCGAUCCAGGAUCUAGGACAACUGCACUGCAAGCAUGCACCCACCAUCGCCGCCCAGCUAGCUAG
RNAcentral lists this long non-coding RNA (649 nucleotides) under Brachypodium distachyon (stiff brome). RNAcentral describes it as "long non-coding RNA (BDIS_LNC002419)". Lineage: Eukaryota; Viridiplantae; Streptophyta; Magnoliopsida; Poales; Poaceae. The record is from RNAcentral.